Long non-coding RNA from Mauremys mutica (yellowpond turtle), 483 nucleotides. RefSeq lists it as uncharacterized. NCBI's taxonomy places the organism in Eukaryota, Metazoa, Chordata, Testudines, Geoemydidae. The transcript is spliced from 3 exons. The record is from RefSeq and is a predicted model, not a curated record.
AUCUGUAAUUAUUCCCCCUUGUGAUACGCAGAGAAACUCUCUGAACUCACCACUUGCCAGUGCUACUGACCAAGUAUCUAUUUGUACCGAGUGUGGAGUGGAGGAGGAGGAAUGGCUGAUGCAGUGGGACAGCCCGUGGAGGUGUGCCGCAUCAGAUCUCCAACCUCCUGCGGCUGGCAGAUGUGGGAGGCCACAAGGACAUCGUGGCAGGCAUCAUGCAGGCAGCCAGGGUCCAGCCAGCUGCUGUGGCCUUCCGCCUAGUCCAGAUCCUCCAGCAGGAUGAGUUCCAGGAUGGAGCGAAUCAGGCAGAUGCUGAGGAGUAAGGCCGGGCAAGUGGCUCCAGAGCCAGCAGCAAACAUCAGCCAGCCUGCCCAGGAGGAGAGCGGCCCCUCUGUCCCCGCAGGCGGGGAAGAGGCUCGUGGCCAGGGGAAAGAGAGGAGCUGCGUCGCCUGCUGGAGGGGGAGGAAGACAGCAGCUCCCCUA